GUGCUCACUCUGGCGGCACAUAUAUUAAAAUUGGAACAAUAUAGAGAAGAUUAGCAUGGCCCCUGCCAAAAUUUGUGGUGUUAGCUUGGAGCCACUUUCUAGAAAAUU
Molecule: small nuclear RNA, 108 nt
Organism: Lutra lutra (Eurasian river otter)
Lineage: Eukaryota; Metazoa; Chordata; Mammalia; Carnivora; Mustelidae
Source: RefSeq, a predicted model, not a curated record